Molecule: long non-coding RNA, 503 nt
Filed under: Bos taurus (domestic cattle)
Lineage: Eukaryota; Metazoa; Chordata; Mammalia; Artiodactyla; Bovidae
Description: long non-coding RNA NONBTAT010980
Source: RNAcentral
AACGUGACUUUCACUGGUCUCCGGACCUGAUCCUUAGAUAAUGUCCUCAGUACAGGGCCUUUAAUAAGUAGUGCAGGGAGAACAGAAGAGUUGUGAAGAAAUAUUAAACUUUAAAAUGCUUCAUAGCCACAGAGUAUUUUCUAAAAUUCCUAGAUUGUUUGUGAAGGCUUAUAUGAAAAUCAGCUGUUAUUAUGUAAAUAUGUCAGUUACUGUUAACCAAAUAUUACAAUGAUGCCUUAAGGAGCUGGUGCUCAAUCAAAAAUACCAUGUGGAACAGAGAACAAGGUGGGGCUGUGAAUUAAGUAUGUGGUUUUUGUGUUUAUAGAAUUGGCUGUCAAGAUGCUCCAUGGGGAGUUGUCUUCAUGGGAGUAUUUUGCCUAAGGGAUCAUACAUGCUUAAAGAUCAUAUGUGCUUAUAUUACUUUACAUUAGAUGGCAUAUAAGGGCUUGAUAUUAACGUGUCUGAUGUCCGAGGGACAAAUGAAAAAUAAAAUACACUCACAC